RNAcentral lists this transfer RNA (75 nucleotides) under Hadesarchaea archaeon. RNAcentral's name for it is "tRNA-Arg". It matches the Rfam family "tRNA". From Rfam's summary of the family: Transfer RNA (tRNA) molecules are approximately 80 nucleotides in length. Their secondary structure includes four short double-helical elements and three loops (D, anti-codon, and T loops). The record is from RNAcentral. Lineage: Archaea; Methanobacteriati; Hadarchaeota (SeqCode); Hadarchaeia (SeqCode).
GGGCCCGUGGCGCAGGCAGGACAGCGCGGCAGGCUUCGGACCUGUAGGUCGAGGGUUCAAAUCCCUCCGGGCCCG